RNAcentral lists this ribosomal RNA (301 nucleotides) under uncultured bacterium. Its description in RNAcentral is "partial 16S ribosomal RNA". It matches the Rfam family "Bacterial small subunit ribosomal RNA", at positions 509 to 807 of the family's 1533-position model. The record is from RNAcentral.
CAGCCGCCGCGGGAAUACGUAGGUGGCAAGCGUUGUCCGGAAUUAUUGGGCGUAAAGGGCUCGCAGGCGGUUUCUUAAGUCUGAUGUGAAGGCCCCCGGCCCAACCGGGGAGGGUCAUUGGAAACUGGGAAACUUGAGUGCAGAAGAGGAGAGUGGAAUUCCACGUGUAGCGGUGAAAUGCGUAGAGAUGUGGAGGAACACCAGUGGCGAAGGCGACUCUCUGGUCUGUAACUGACGCUGAGGAGCGAAAGCGUGGGGAGCGAACAGGAUUAGAUACCCGCGUAGUCCCUGUCUCUUAUAC